UCAUGGCAAAGAGCAUUUGCAGAUGUGAUUAAGUUAAAGAUCUUGACAUGGGGAGAUUAUCCUGGAUUAUCCUGGUAAACCCAAUAAAAGGGAAGCAGGAAAGUCAGAUUCAUAGGAGACAAUAGAAGAGUUGGGAGGAAGGGGCGCUGAGGUGAGGAAUGUGGGCAGCCUCUAGAAGCUGUAAGAGCAAGGAAACAGAUUCUCCCCUGGAACCUCUAGAAGGAACACUGCACUCUGGAACCUUGACCUCCUAACUGUAAGAUAAUGUGCAUUAUUUUAAACCACUAAUAUGCCUGGCAUUAUUAUAAGUGCUUUGCAUGAAUGAAAUCAUUGCAGACUCACUGACUAUGAAUCAGCAUAUAGUUUGCUUUCCAUAACUGGACAGCAGAAUCACCAAGGACCAAGCCUGCAAAUCCUGAAAAAUGUUUCUUUCCAGAUGGACCACAAUCAAAAUUUAACAAAAUAAAGCUUCAAAAAAUUCCCAAGCUGCACAGCUCCUGGAGCCACUCCUAUUUCAAAACUGAACAUCAAUCCACAACUUGGAAGGAACAGAAACUAACACAGACACCAGGAAGAAACAUCCAGCAGAGGAGACAAGAGUAAGCCAAUGACUGAAGCUUAGAAUUCUAGAAAGCAGCAGGGGGCUCAGGAACCUGGAUUCCUUCCUGAUUCUCAGAAUGGCCUUUAACUUGAGAAGAAAAUGCAGAAUACUGUGGUGUAAAGGUGCCAAAGUCACCAAAGGCAAAAGAUAUCCACUUUUAGGGUAGUAAGAUUACUUCUAAACCCUUUCCAGAUGGCUCGAGAGGAGACUCUUAGGGCUAUAGAUGCCCUCUUAUCAGAAGGAUUAGGAAUAGCAAUUUCAUUUUAACUUGAAAUGUCCCAAGAGUACAUCCUUGACCAUUUGUUUGAUGUAAGGUCACAGGAUUUCCUCUGAUUUUAAGUCACUGAUUGAUAUAUCACAUCCUUUCAAUAAACUAUACUC
RNAcentral lists this long non-coding RNA (982 nucleotides) under Mustela putorius furo (domestic ferret). Its description in RNAcentral is "lncRNA (ENSMPUG00000031301.1)". The record is from RNAcentral. Lineage: Eukaryota; Metazoa; Chordata; Mammalia; Carnivora; Mustelidae.